UACGAAGGGGGCGAGCGUUGUUCGGAUUUACUGAGCGUAAAGGGCGCGUAGGCGGCCGUCCAAGUCGCGUGUGAAAGCCCCGGGCUCAACCUGGGAGGUGCGCGCGAGACUGGUUGGCUGGAGUUCGGGAGAGGAGCGUGGAAUUCCCAGUGUAGAGGUGAAAUUCGUAGAUAUUGGGAAGAACACCGGUGGCGAAGGCGGCGCUCUGGACCGAGACUGACGCUGAGGCGCGAAAGCGUGGGGAG
Molecule: ribosomal RNA, 245 nt
Filed under: uncultured Azospirillum sp.
Lineage: Bacteria; Pseudomonadati; Pseudomonadota; Alphaproteobacteria; Rhodospirillales; Azospirillaceae
Description: partial 16S ribosomal RNA
Rfam family: Bacterial small subunit ribosomal RNA
Source: RNAcentral